Molecule: unclassified non-coding RNA, 156 nt
Filed under: uncultured Herpotrichiellaceae
Lineage: Eukaryota; Fungi; Ascomycota; Eurotiomycetes; Chaetothyriales; Herpotrichiellaceae
Description: sequence contains ITS2
Source: RNAcentral
UCAACCCUCAAGCCCGGCUUGUUGUUGGACUCGGUGAGGUCAUCCUCACCAGCCUCAAAGAUAAUGACGGUGUCUAGAGGACCCUCGGUACAAUGAGCUUUCUAAAGCACGUAUUGAAGUGGGCUUCGAGGCCCGGUCUCUUUUAACUAUUUACAA